Helianthus annuus (common sunflower) is the source of this 2868-nucleotide RNA transcript. It is a transcript of the gene named protein CROWDED NUCLEI 1, with no coding region annotated. The record is from RefSeq and is a predicted model, not a curated record. The transcript is spliced from 4 exons. NCBI's taxonomy places the organism in Eukaryota, Viridiplantae, Streptophyta, Magnoliopsida, Asterales, Asteraceae.
CGAAUGGACUUUUGAAAACAACCCACGAGCCAAACAACAGAGAAAUUAUGUUUCCCUUCCGGUAUAUCUGACAAUGCAUACACUAACGGGACCACACUCUUCACUCCGAUUUCCAAACCACCGUCAACCGUCGUCAAUUUAUCCGUUGCGUCACCGGAACCACCGUCAAUCUCCUCCGGUGACCGCUUCCAAUACUCACAGGCCGCCGAGAAACAAUCACCAAUCAUCAUAUUCCUCAUUCAGUCAAACAACGGUCAACAUCUUCGAGCAUAACGUCAAAUUGUUCGACUAUAACUCUAUAAGGCAUUAAGUUCUCUGAAGAGAUUGGAUGUAUACAAAGGAGUUGAAAAGGGUAAAGAGCCCAAGUUCAGAAAGAAGUUUGCUGCGAUUGAAAAAUUAGAUUAUCAAGCUCCAGCAGAUGACAAAUGGAGGCAUGAUAAUAGUGAUUCUGGAACUGAAACAGAGAAGAUGCAGCCAUUUGAGCCUAAGAAGACUAGGUGGUGGGUGAAGACAGAUGAUAAGAAGAAAAAGAGAACUCCAAAAGCUGCAACACCAAAAGCUGGACCGAAGAGAGCUCCGAAGAAGAAGAAAUCUCCACCACAUCUGGUUGAUGAACCAGAUGAUGUUCCUCCUGAAAAUAUUGAUGUUAAUGUUGCAGGUGGUGAUCAUGAGAUUUUCUUGGAUGAAAUUGAAAACAUCAUAGCCGAUCAAGAUGCUUCUAAAGUUGCUGAGAAAGCUGGGGGUGAGAAAAGGGGUAAAAACAUUGAAGCUAUGAAAGAAACGCUAGUUGAAGGUGAUGUGCAUACAGAUUCAAGCGAUACAGAAACUGAUAUAGUUGUCACACAGCUGGCACCAACAACAGAUGUUAGUGGCAAAUUCAGAAUGAAAGUGCCUUCAAAGAAAAAGAAGAAUUCAGACGAUGAAGAUGCUACUUAUGAUUCAGAUGCAGAGACAGAAAAGUUAAAGAAGCGUAAAGGAUCGCAGAAGCGUAAAGCUCAGCCUACGGGUGAAAUUCCAAGAAGGAGGAAAGUCAGGAAGACUACAACUGAUAUUCCUGAACAGAUUCCUGAAGUUGAAAACGUUGAAAUGGAGGUUCCUGUACAAAGUGAAUGCAUUCCAGAACCUAGAUCCACAUCGAAGAAGAUUCCAUCACCAACACCACAAGGUUCGAGUCAAGGUUUUCCGAAAGUUCCUUCUAAUCUUGAUGGUGGUCCAACGAGUCUUGAUGAUGUUGGAUACAUUCCGUUCUUUAAUGGCGAUAAGGUUGAUGAAUUAGCAAAGAAAGUUGGAGAGUUAGAGAAGGCGAAAGCAGAUACUGACGCAGAGCUUAAAGUAAUGAAAGAAAAGCGUAAGCAGGUUGAAGCUGAAAAUGUGGUUCUAAAGAAUGAAAUGUUGGCUAUGAAUGAUCAGAUUGAAGAUGUUAAAGCUGGGAACAAUGCUUUGAACGAAAUGAUUGAUGAGCUGCUAGUUACAAAUUGUGAUCUGAAUGAUGCUAAUACGACAAUGAGUAAUGCUAAUGAGAUCUUGCAGAAAGAGAUAGAAGAUCUGAAAGCAGACAAGGAAAACAAGUCUAAGCAAAUAGAGAUGUUAUAUGCCGUGAUCGAAGACAGACUUGGUAUCAAUGUUCAUGCAGCUUAUGAUGAUGUUGAAAUCCGAAGAGCUGAGGCUCUGAGGAUGGAAAAAGAACAACAAAAUGCUGCUGAAGCUGCAAAGGAUAAAGGAAAAGGUAUAGCAGUAGAAGAAGCUUCUGAAGAAGUUCUUGAAUCGUCGAGUCAGAGAGAGCAACAACAACCAGAAGAUGAAGCUAAUGAUGAUAAUGCUCUGGUCCUCGCACAACAAUUCGUCCUUGUAGGUAAAGCAAAGAGCGUGUCUUACAGCAGAGAAGACAAUGCAAGGAGAAUUGAAGUUGAAAGACGUCGACUGAAAGCUAAACAAGAAAAGAAAGAUCAGACAGUUGAGAAAGUUGACGAAGAGAAUGAUGAUUUGAAAGACAUUGAGGUUGACAACCUGAGGCAUAAAUAUGAAAUUUAUGAAGCUGAGAUUAAAAAAUCAAGAAAGCAAGUUCAGGAAGCAAUGGAAUUAGCUGCUGAUGAAUCUGCAAAAUUUAAAGCUGCAAAAGAUGCAAUCAAAAUUCUUGCUUCACAGCUUAAGGACAUAGCAGAAAGAUUGCCACCUGGAUCCUAUAACCUUGACAGCAUUAAGAUACCAAAUGGUCUAGAAUCCGGCUCCAUUCUGCAAAAUCUCGACACAAAUGGAGACAUUCUGUCAACAAGGAUUUCGAACGGGGAUGAUGGAUAUUCAGAUUAUGGCGGUGGAGGUUCAGGGGUAGAUUUGGGAAAUAAGUAUUUGCCGGAUCAUGUAUCUUCGCAAGAAGGGGAGUUCAAAACUAGAAAUGUAGCAUCUUAUGAUGGUGAUGCUGCAUCUGAUCAAGUUGAGGCUGAAUGGAUUGAACAUAUGAGCCUGGUGUGUAUUUAACACUUGUGGCUUUACGUGAUGGAACCCGAGAUCCCAAAAGAGUUCGCUUUAGCCCUAGGAGAUUUGGUGAGCACCAAGCCGAGACAUGGUGGUCAGAAAAACGUGAACAAGUUUAUGAACGAUAUAAUAUUCUUCGUGGGUCGGAUAAAUUAUCAGUCUCCGCGCAAACGACCCGACAGUCAACUGAAAAUCUCCCGCCACUGGUCCGUUACUAAAUCACCAUGGCUGUAAUAUUCUUCCCAGUUUCCACUUUUGAUUUGUGAAUUAUAUUCCGAGGGUGAAAAUUAGAUUCAAGUGUAGUUGAUGUAAUGUUCUUGCCUGUAUUGUGAUAGAUAUGGUGUAUAUAAACUUUAUUAGUAUAAGGGGAAGGUUAAAGUAUGAUAAUUGCUUAAC